GUUGUAGCUCAGUGGUAGAGCACUUGCCUGGCAUGCUCGGGGCUCUGGGUUCGAUCCUCAGCCACA
This 66-nucleotide transfer RNA is filed under the name Marmota monax (woodchuck). RNAcentral's name for it is "tRNA.Ala". The stretch from base 4 to 62 matches the Rfam family "tRNA", at positions 7 to 64 of the family's 71-position model. From Rfam's summary of the family: Transfer RNA (tRNA) molecules are approximately 80 nucleotides in length. Their secondary structure includes four short double-helical elements and three loops (D, anti-codon, and T loops). The record is from RNAcentral. Lineage: Eukaryota; Metazoa; Chordata; Mammalia; Rodentia; Sciuridae.